UUGAUUCAUUCUUCGCUUGUACGCCGAGAUGCCGCUGACAGUUGAGUACUGGGGCCCUCCGGCGGGCGCCUUGGUCCGGGCCGCUGGGGCGCCGGGGCGGUCCCGCCGAGGCAACGUGCGUGGUACGGUUCGCAGGGGGUUUGGGAGUUGUAAACUCGUUAAUGAUCCCUCCGCUGGUUCACCAACGGAGA
Molecule: unclassified non-coding RNA, 191 nt
Filed under: uncultured fungus
Lineage: Eukaryota; Fungi
Description: sequence contains ITS1
Source: RNAcentral